UACAGAGGGUGCGAGCGUUGUUCGGAUUCAUUGGGCGUAAAGGGUGCGUAGGUGGCGCCGUAAGUCGGGUGUGAAAUUUCGGAGCUUAACUCCGAAACUGCAUUCGAUACUGCGGUGCUUGAGGACUGGAGAGGAGACUGGAAUUCAUGGUGUAGCAGUGAAAUGCGUAGAGAUCAUGAGGAAGACCAGUGGCGAAGGCGGGUCUCUGGACAGUUCCUGACACUGAGGCACGAAGGCCAGGGGAGCAAACGGG
Molecule: ribosomal RNA, 253 nt
Filed under: uncultured bacterium
Lineage: Bacteria
Description: partial 16S ribosomal RNA
Rfam family: Bacterial small subunit ribosomal RNA
Source: RNAcentral